This 83-nucleotide transfer RNA is filed under the name Triticum aestivum (bread wheat). It matches the Rfam family "tRNA". Rfam says of the family: Transfer RNA (tRNA) molecules are approximately 80 nucleotides in length. Lineage: Eukaryota; Viridiplantae; Streptophyta; Magnoliopsida; Poales; Poaceae. The record is from Rfam by way of RNAcentral.
GCUGGUUUUGCCGAGUGGUUAAGGGGGAAGACUUAAGAUCUUCUGCACAUAAGUGCAUGCGGGUUUGAACCCCACAACCAGCA